This 482-nucleotide ribosomal RNA is filed under the name uncultured bacterium. Its description in RNAcentral is "partial 16S ribosomal RNA". It matches the Rfam family "Bacterial small subunit ribosomal RNA", at positions 30 to 507 of the family's 1533-position model. The record is from RNAcentral.
AUUGAACGCUGGCGGCAUGCUCUACACAUGCAAGUCGAACGGUAACAGGCCGCAAGGUGCUGACGAGUGGCGAACGGGUGAGUAAUGCAUCGGAACGUGCCCAGUCGUGGGGGAUAACUACUCGAAAGAGUAGCUAAUACCGCAUACGAUCUAUGGAUGAAAGCGGGGGACCGUAAGGCCUCGCGCGAUUGGAGCGGCCGAUGUCAGAUUAGGUAGUUGGUGGGGUAAAGGCUCACCAAGCCAACGAUCUGUAGCUGGUCUGAGAGGACGACCAGCCACACUGGGACUGAGACACGGCCCAGACUCCUACGGGAGGCAGCAGUGGGGAAUUUUGGACAAUGGGCGCAAGCCUGAUCCAGCAAUGCCGCGUGCAGGAAGAAGGCCUUCGGGUUGUAAACUGCUUUUGUACGGAACGAAACGGCUCUGGUUAAUACCCGGGGCUAAUGACGGUACCGUAAGAAUAAGCACCGGCUAACUAUGUG